GGACUUGUAGCUCAGUGGCCAGAGCGAGGGAUUGCAGUUCAGCAAUUAUCCCCAGGUCACCAGUUCGAAUCUGGUUAAGUCCU
This is a non-coding RNA of Biscogniauxia marginata, 83 nucleotides long. NCBI's taxonomy places the organism in Eukaryota, Fungi, Ascomycota, Sordariomycetes, Xylariales, Xylariaceae. The record is from the annotation of a GenBank genome assembly.